UGGGAACCGUGUCCUCUGCUGCC
This 23-nucleotide non-coding RNA is filed under the name Rattus norvegicus (Norway rat). The record is from RNAcentral. Lineage: Eukaryota; Metazoa; Chordata; Mammalia; Rodentia; Muridae.